UACGAAGGGGGCUAGCGUUGCUCGGAAUCACUGGGCGUAAAGGGCGCGUAGGCGGCCUGAUAAGUCGGGGGUGAAAGCCUGUGGCUCAACCACAGAAUUGCCUUCGAUACUGUUGGGCUUGAGACCGGAAGAGGUAAGUGGAACUGCGAGUGUAGAGGUGAAAUUCGUAGAUAUUCGCAAGAACACCAGUGGCGAAGGCGGCUCACUGGCCCGGUACUGACGCUGAGGUGCGAAAGCGUGGGGAGCAAACAGG
RNAcentral lists this ribosomal RNA (253 nucleotides) under uncultured bacterium. RNAcentral's name for it is "partial 16S ribosomal RNA". It matches the Rfam family "Bacterial small subunit ribosomal RNA", at positions 524 to 776 of the family's 1533-position model. The record is from RNAcentral.